GGGCAAGAACAUCACAAGUCUGAGCCCAGUGCGGGGAACUCGGCACCUGAACAAGACCCCAGCUCCAAAUAAAACUGUUUGGGGAAGGCUGUGGAUGCAGCGAAGUGCAAAGGCCCUAGAUUCAACCCGCAGUACUGCAAAAUAAACAAUAUUUUAAGAGGUGCCUUCUUGUCCCCCAUAUCAACAGAGUCCAUGGGCCACUGUGGUCUGCUUGCAGGAGGACAGGCAGCCCCCUGCACUGGGACACUUUGAGAGGUCAAAGCCCCCUGAGCACCCAGCAGACCAGGAAGACACCGAGAAGGGCCUCCUAUUCAAUGACCCGCUCCUCUAAGACCACAGCUGUGUGGCCUAAGUGGCCACAGAGCCCAGUCUACAGGCCCAUGAGGAUCGCGCACAUUCUGCCCG
RNAcentral lists this long non-coding RNA (405 nucleotides) under Fukomys damarensis (Damara mole-rat). RNAcentral describes it as "lncRNA (ENSFDAG00000032343.1)". Lineage: Eukaryota; Metazoa; Chordata; Mammalia; Rodentia; Bathyergidae. The record is from RNAcentral.